RNAcentral lists this ribosomal RNA (509 nucleotides) under uncultured bacterium. RNAcentral's name for it is "bacterial SSU rRNA". It matches the Rfam family "Bacterial small subunit ribosomal RNA", at positions 28 to 526 of the family's 1533-position model. The record is from RNAcentral.
GACGAACGCUGGCGGCGUGCCUAAUACAUGCAAGUCGAGCGGAUUCUUCCUUCGGGAAGGGUUAGCGGCGGACGGGUGAGUAACACGUAGGCAACCUGCCUUCAAGACCGGGAUAACAUGCGGAAACGGAUGCUAAGACCGGAUACACAGCUUUGUCGCAUGGCGAGGCUGGGAAACACGGUGCAAGCUGUGGCUUGGAGAUGGGCCUGCGGCGCAUUAGCUAGUUGGUGGGGUAACGGCUCACCAAGGCGACGAUGCGUAGCCGACCUGAGAGGGUGAACGGCCACACUGGGACUGAGACACGGCCCAGACUCCUACGGGAGGCAGCAGUAGGGAAUCUUCCACAAUGGGCGCAAGCCUGAUGGAGCAACGCCGCGUGAGUGAGGAAGGCUUUCGGGUCGUAAAGCUCUGUUGCCAGGGAAGAAUAAGGGUGAGAGUAACUGCUCGCCUGAUGACGGUACCUGAGAAGAAAGCCCCGGCUAACUACGUGCCAGCAGCCGCGGUAACAC